AGCGAACGCUGGCGGCAGGCUUAACACAUGCAAGUCGAGCGGGCACUUCGGUGUCAGCGGCAGACGGGUGAGUAACACGUGGGAACGUACCCUUCGGUUCGGAAUAACGCUGGGAAACUAGCGCUAAUACCGGAUACGCCCUUUUGGGGAAAGGUUUACUGCCGAAGGAUCGGCCCGCGUCUGAUUAGCUAGUUGGUGGGGUAAUGGCCUACCAAGGCGACGAUCAGUAGCUGGUCUGAGAGGAUGAUCAGCCACACUGGGACUGAGACACGGCCCAGACUCCUACGGGAGGCAGCAGUGGGGAAUAUUGGACAAUGGGCGCAAGCCUGAUCCAGCCAUGCCGCGUGAGUGAUGAAGGCCUUAGGGUUGUAAAGCUCUUUUGUCCGGGACGAUAAUGACGGUACCGGAAGAAUAAGCCCCGACUAACUUCGUG
Molecule: ribosomal RNA, 433 nt
Filed under: uncultured bacterium
Lineage: Bacteria
Description: partial 16S ribosomal RNA
Rfam family: Bacterial small subunit ribosomal RNA
Source: RNAcentral